GACGAACGCUGGCGGCGUGCCUAAUACAUGCAAGUCGAGCGAAUCAAUAGGAGCUUGCUCCUGUUGGUUAGCGGCGGACGGGUGAGUAACACGUGGGCAACCUGCCUGUAAGACUGGGAUAACACCGGGAAACCGGUGCUAAUACCGGAUAAUCCUUUUCCUCCCAUGAGGGACAGUUGAAAGUCGGUUUCGGCUGACACUUACAGAUGGGCCCGCGGCGAAUUAGCUAGUUGGUGAGGUAACGGCUCACCAAGGCGACGAUGCGUAGCCGACCUGAGAGGGUGAUCGGCCACACUGGGACUGAGACACGGCCCAGACUCCUACGGGAGGCAGCAGUAGGGAAUCUUCCACAAUGGACGAAAGUCUGAUGGAGCAACGCCGCGUGAGCGAUGAAGGCCUUCGGGUCGUAAAGCUCUGUUGUUAGGGAAGAACAAGUACCGGAGUAACUGCCGGUACCUUGACGGUACCUAACCAGAAAGCCACGGCUAACUACGUGCCAGCAGCCGCUGUAA
This 512-nucleotide ribosomal RNA is filed under the name uncultured bacterium. Its description in RNAcentral is "partial 16S ribosomal RNA". It matches the Rfam family "Bacterial small subunit ribosomal RNA", at positions 28 to 523 of the family's 1533-position model. The record is from RNAcentral.